Molecule: transfer RNA, 83 nt
Organism: Streptacidiphilus jiangxiensis
Lineage: Bacteria; Bacillati; Actinomycetota; Actinomycetes; Kitasatosporales; Streptomycetaceae
Rfam family: tRNA
About the family: Transfer RNA (tRNA) molecules are approximately 80 nucleotides in length.
Source: Rfam
GCGCGGGUGGCGGAAUGGCAGACGCGCUAGCUUGAGGUGCUAGUGCCCUUCGGGGCGUGGGGGUUCAAGUCCCCCCUCGCGCA